RNAcentral lists this ribosomal RNA (467 nucleotides) under Neometopina orientalis. RNAcentral's name for it is "partial 16S ribosomal RNA". The stretch from base 341 to 467 matches the Rfam family "Bacterial large subunit ribosomal RNA", at positions 2473 to 2600 of the family's 2925-position model. Lineage: Eukaryota; Metazoa; Arthropoda; Insecta; Hemiptera; Delphacidae. The record is from RNAcentral.
UUUAAAUAGCUGCAGUAUUUUAACUGUACUAAGGUAGCAUAAUCAUUAGUCUUUUAAUUGAGGUCUGGAAUGAAUGGUUUAACAAGAGAAUAACUUUAUUAAUUUAAUGGGUUUAAACUUUAUUUUUUAGUUAAAAAGCUAAAAUUUUUAAAUGGGACGAUAAGACCCUAUAGAUCUUUAAAUUUUUAAUUUAUAAUAAUUUUUUGGUGGUAAAAAAUUUUAUUUUUAAAAAUUUUUUGUUGGGGUGAUAUAUAAAUUUUUAAGACUUUAUAAUUUUUUUAACAUUUAUGGAUGAUUUAUUGAUCCAAAAUUUUUGAUUAUUAAAAUAAGAUACCUUAGGGAUAACAGCGUUAUAAAUUUGUAUAGUUCAUAUAGAUAAAUUUGUUUGCGACCUCGAUGUUGAAUUAAUAAAAAUUUUUGGAGCAGAAACUAAAAUUUUAGGUCUGUUCGACCUUUAAAAUGUUACA